This 415-nucleotide ribosomal RNA is filed under the name uncultured crenarchaeote. Its description in RNAcentral is "partial 16S ribosomal RNA". It matches the Rfam family "Archaeal small subunit ribosomal RNA", at positions 330 to 747 of the family's 1478-position model. Lineage: Archaea; Thermoproteati; Thermoproteota. The record is from RNAcentral.
GUGCAGCAGGCGCGAAAACUCCGCAAUGCACGAAAGUGCGACGGGGUUACCUCGAGUGCCGCCUGAUGAAGGCGGCUUUUCCACAGUGUAAGGAGCUGUGGGAAUAAGGAGAGGGCAAGUCUGGUGUCAGCCGCCGCGGUAAUACCAGCUCUCCGAGUGGUAGGGAUGAUUAUUGGGCUUAAAGCGUCCGUAGCUGGCCUUUCAAGUCUCUUGUUAAAUCCAGCGAUUCAAUCGUUGGACUGCGGGAGAUACUGUUAGGCUAGGGGGCGGGAGAAGCCGACGGUAUUUCCGGGGUAGGGGUAAAAUCCUAUAAUCCCGGGAAGACCACCAGUGGCGUAGGCGGUCGGCUAGCACGCGCUCGACAGUGAGGGACGAAAGCUGGGGUAGCGAACCGGAUUAGAUACCCGGGUAGUCC